UUCCCAGCAUUGUCCCGCUGUUGAAGCCUCUGCAGCGACUCUAAACAAGUGCAAAGUCUGCCUGUGCAGGCUACACUCUCUUUCUGUGCUGAGAUUCCUUAACUGGAUGUCAGCAGCUCAGGCUUUGCCUGCGUCCACAGAUCAAACGGGGGUGGCCACACCGGUGGUUUAGAUAUGACCGGCCUUAGCUGUAGCCAGUUAAGAAUCAGUGUUCCGUAGGUGAACCUGCGGAAGGAUCAUUAAAGAGUAAGGGUCUUCUAGGCCCGACCUCCAACCCUUUGUAUACUUAUCUUUGUUGCUUUGGCGGGCCCGUUGGGGAGACCCACCGCUGGCCUUGGCUGGUGAGUGCCCGUCAGAGUCCACCUGAACUCUGUUUAUCAGUGAAGUCUGAGUAUCAUUCAAUAGUUAAAACUUUCAACAACGGAUCUCUUGGUUCUG
This 438-nucleotide unclassified non-coding RNA is filed under the name rhizosphere metagenome. RNAcentral describes it as "partial ribosomal RNA internal transcribed spacer region". The record is from RNAcentral.